Molecule: ribosomal RNA, 325 nt
Filed under: uncultured eukaryote
Lineage: Eukaryota
Description: partial 18S ribosomal RNA
Rfam family: Eukaryotic small subunit ribosomal RNA
Source: RNAcentral
CCCUUAGAUGUUCUGGGCCGCGCGCGCGCUACACUGACUGGUGCAACAAGUGUCGCUCCUUGGCCGAUAGGCCUGGGCAAUCUUUGAACGCCAGUCGUGAUGGGGAUAGAUUCUUGCAAUUUUUGAUCUUCAACGAGGAAUUCCUAGUAAACGCGAGUCAUCAACUCGCAUUGAUUACGUCCCUGCCCUUUGUACACACCGCCCGUCGCACCUACCGAUUGAAUGGUCCGGUGAACCCUCCGGAUCGGCCCGCGCCAACGCAAGUUGAGCAAAGGCCGAGAAGUUGGGUAAACCUUACCAUUUAGAGGAAGGUGAAGUCGUAACA